CCUACGGGUGGCUGCAGUGGGGAAUAUUGCACAAUGGGGGGAACCCUGAUGCAGCGACGCCGCGUGAGCGAAGAAGGGAUUCGUUUCGUAAAGCUCUGUCCUAUGGGAAGAUAAUGACGGUACCAUAGAAGAAAGCCCCGGCUAACUACGUGCCAGCAGCCGCGGUAAUACGUAGGGGGCGAGCGUUGUCCGGAAUCACUGGGCGUAAAGGGUUCGCAGGCGGAUAAACAAGUCAAGAGUAAAAGGCAUGGGCUUAACCCAUGUAAGCUAUUGAAACUGUUUAUCUUGAGAUGUGGAGAGGUAAGUGGAAUUACUAGUGUAGCGGUGAAAUGCGUAGAUAUUAGUAGGAAUACCAGUAGCGAAGGCGACUUACUGGACACAAACUGACGCUGAGGAACGAAAGCGUGGGUAGCAAACAGGAUUAGAUACCCCGGUAGUC
Molecule: ribosomal RNA, 439 nt
Filed under: uncultured Peptoniphilus sp.
Lineage: Bacteria; Bacillati; Bacillota; Tissierellia; Tissierellales; Peptoniphilaceae
Description: bacterial SSU rRNA
Rfam family: Bacterial small subunit ribosomal RNA
Source: RNAcentral